AGAGUUUGAUCCUGGCUCAGGACGAACGCUGGCGGCGCGCCUAACACAUGCAAGUCGAGCGAGAACCAGGGCUUCGGCCCUGGGGACAGCGGCGAACGGGUGAGUAACACGUGGAUAACCUGCCCUCGGCACCGGAAUAGCCCGAGGAAACUCGGAUUAAUGCCGGAUAGCCCCACAUCCCUGCGGGGAACGUGGGAAAAGGUAGCUUCGGCCUCUGGCCGGGGAUGGGUCCGCGGUGGAUUAGCUUGUUGGCGGGGUAACGGCCCACCAAGGCGACGAUCCAUAACUGGUCUGAGAAGAUGAUCAGCCACACUGGGACUGAGACACGGCCCAGACUCCUACGGGAGGCAGCAGUGGGGGAAUCUUGCGCAAUGGGCGAAAGCCUGACGCAACGACGCCGCCUGCGGGGAAGAAAGCCCUCCGGGUUGUAAACCGCUUUUUUGAGGGACGAAACCCCUCCGGGUGAAUAGCCCAGAAGGGGGACGGUACCUCCCGAAAAAGCCCCGGCUAACUACCUGGCCAGCAGCCGCGGUAAUACCUAAGGGGGCUAGCGUUGUCCGG
RNAcentral lists this ribosomal RNA (561 nucleotides) under uncultured Actinomycetes bacterium. RNAcentral describes it as "bacterial SSU rRNA". It matches the Rfam family "Bacterial small subunit ribosomal RNA", at positions 8 to 548 of the family's 1533-position model. Lineage: Bacteria; Bacillati; Actinomycetota; Actinomycetes. The record is from RNAcentral.